RNAcentral lists this ribosomal RNA (327 nucleotides) under Triticum aestivum (bread wheat). RNAcentral describes it as "partial small subunit ribosomal RNA". The record is from RNAcentral. Lineage: Eukaryota; Viridiplantae; Streptophyta; Magnoliopsida; Poales; Poaceae.
AUGCAACUUUACCUCCUCGGCUUUAUUGUCCAAGUAGAGCAUCUCAAGCUAAUCAUCAGGAACAAAUGUUAUUUUUACUGCAUAGUUUCGUGUGCCAAAUGUGAGAUUACUAUCAUUGAGCUUGAAUCUAAAUAUAAGUCUUUUCCACAUAAUUGUCGAAUAAUCUUUGGCGCUUCUUCUGAUUUCCCAUCUAGUGUGUCCAUCAACUUAGAUGCAGACGUAUUAAGCAAUCUUGCAGCCUCCUCGUCAAAUAAAGUGCAGCUUGUAGUAGAUGUAUGGUCACUAAUUUGGAGACGAACACGAUACCUAACAUACAAUUCAUGUUAG